AGAGUUUGAUUAUGGCUCAGAUUGAACGCUGGCGGCAUGCUUUACACAUGCAAGUCGAACGGCAGCACGGGGGCAACCCUGGUGGCGAGUGGCGAACGGGUGAGUAAUACAUCGGAACGUGCCCCGUAGUGGGGGAUAACUAGUCGAAAGAUUAGCUAAUACCGCAUAUGCUCUGAGGAGGAAAGCAGGGGAUCGCAAGACCUUGUGCUAUGGGAGCGGCCGAUGUCCGAUUAGCUAGUUGGUAGGGUAAAGGCCUACCAAGGCGACGAUCGGUAGCUGGUCUGAGAGGAUGAUCAGCCACACUGGGACUGAGACACGGCCCAGACUCCUACGGGAGGCAGCAGUGGGGAAUUUUGGACAAUGGGGGCAACCCUGAUCCAGCCAUGCCGCGUGAGUGAAGAAGGCCUUCGGGUUGUAAAGCUCUUUUGUAUGGGAAGAAAAGAUUACGGCUAAUACCCGUGAUACUUGACGGUACCGUAAGAAUAAGCACCGGCUAACUACGUGCCAGCAGCCGCGGUAAUACGUAGGGUGCGAGCGUUAAUCGGAAUUACUGGGCGUAAAGGGUGCGCAGGCGGUUCGUUAUGUCUGCCGUGAAAGCCUCGGGCUUAACCUGAGAAUUGCGGUGGAAACUGGCGAGCUUGAGUGUGGCAGAGGGGGGUGGAAUUCCACGUGUAGCAGUGAAAUGCGUAGAGAUGUGGAGGAACACCGAUGGCGAAGGCAGCCCCCUGGGCUAACACUGACGCUCAGGCACGAAAGCGUGGGAGCAAACAGGAUUAGAUACCCUGGUAGUCCACGCCCUAAACGAUGUCAACUAGUUGUUGGGGGAGCGAUUCCUCAGUGACGCAGCUAACGCGUGAAGUUGACCGCCUGGGGAGUACGGUCGCAAGAUUAAAACUCAAAGGAAUUGACGGGGACCCGCACAAGCGGUGGAUGAUGUGGAUUAAUUCGAUGCAACGCGAACAACCUUACCUACUCUUGAC
This 980-nucleotide ribosomal RNA is filed under the name uncultured bacterium. RNAcentral describes it as "bacterial SSU rRNA". It matches the Rfam family "Bacterial small subunit ribosomal RNA", at positions 8 to 985 of the family's 1533-position model. The record is from RNAcentral.